Ceratitis capitata (Mediterranean fruit fly) is the source of this 388-nucleotide long non-coding RNA. RefSeq lists it as uncharacterized. The transcript is spliced from 2 exons. The record is from RefSeq and is a predicted model, not a curated record. NCBI's taxonomy places the organism in Eukaryota, Metazoa, Arthropoda, Insecta, Diptera, Tephritidae.
AAGUUGGAAGACAGUGUUGCAAUGAAGUAUUAGCCAUGGUCAGUUUUUAUUGGUUUUAUUUUCCAGCAGUUUUAAAAAUGGAACACAUCAAUGAGAAGUGUCAAGUUCCAGUUCCUAAACUUCUUAGGAGCAGAACGGAAGUAAUGCGCGUAGUCACCCUUUUUCUGAUGAAGUGAAUAAUGGCAUUUUUGGGAUAGGAUGACACAACGGCUUCGCCUUACACAAAAUUCUUAAGUGAAUUAUAUAUAAUUGGUGCUUUGUAACCCUGUGCCGGACCGACAUCGCCUAAAACUGAAGUUAAUUAGUUUAUAAAAAAAAUAUAAAAACUUUAUUUUGUUAAAUUUUAUAUGGGCUAUAUCUCUUAGAUUUGGGGAGAUAGCGAAAUUUA